GAUGAACGCUGGCGGCGUGCCUAAUACAUGCAAGUCGAGCGAACGGACGAGAAGCUUGCUUCUCUGAUGUUAGCGGCGGACGGGUGAGUAACACGUGGAUAACCUACCUAUAAGACUGGGAUAACUUCGGGAAACCGGAGCUAAUACCGGAUAAUAUUUUGAACCGCAUGGUUCAAAAGUGAAAGACGGUCUUGCUGUCACUUAUAGAUGGAUCCGCGCUGCAUUAGCUAGUUGGUAAGGUAACGGCUUACCAAGGCAACGAUGCAUAGCCGAACUGAGAGGGUGAUCGGCCACACGGGAACUGAGACACGGUCCAGACUCCUACGGGAGGCAGCAGUAGGGAAUCUUCCGCAAUGGGCGAAAGCCUGACGGAGCAACGCCGCGUGAGUGAUGAAGGUCUUCGGAUCGUAAAACUCUGUUAUUAGGGAAGAACAUAUGUGUAAGUAACUGUGCACAUCUUGACGGUACCUAAUCAGAAAGCCACGGCUAACUACGUG
RNAcentral lists this ribosomal RNA (497 nucleotides) under uncultured bacterium. RNAcentral describes it as "partial 16S ribosomal RNA". It matches the Rfam family "Bacterial small subunit ribosomal RNA", at positions 28 to 507 of the family's 1533-position model. The record is from RNAcentral.